UGCCUUGCUGCAUUGGCUCAGAGGCAGACUGGGAAGCAGAUGAUACUGAGGACUCCUGGAUUCACAGUCUGUUCUGGUUUCCUCUCUGCACCAGAUGUGUUGUGCAUGGCUCUUUGCACAGCAGCAGAUGCUAUGGGCUGGAAUGCAGCCCGUGGCCAUUUUUGGCACUGCCAAGGAGGGUCAACUCAUUCCAAACCGCCAAGCAGGAAGGACCAAGGUGUAGCAGCCUGUCCACCGUCGGACCUCUCCCCCAUCUGCCAGUCCUCCUGCCUGCCGCUCAGACAC
This is a long non-coding RNA of Alligator sinensis (Chinese alligator), 285 nucleotides long. RefSeq lists it as uncharacterized. Lineage: Eukaryota; Metazoa; Chordata; Crocodylia; Alligatoridae. The record is from RefSeq and is a predicted model, not a curated record. The transcript is spliced from 3 exons.